Molecule: long non-coding RNA, 1096 nt
Filed under: Gallus gallus (chicken)
Lineage: Eukaryota; Metazoa; Chordata; Aves; Galliformes; Phasianidae
Source: RNAcentral
GCCGCCCCGAGCCCACGCCGCGCGGAACCGCCGGAGCUCCCCCCGGGCCGGCAGCCGGGCCGCCACGCUCGCGGCCCGGAAGGCACCGAACAAAGGCGGGGGCGGCCCGGGAGAGCCGCCGGAGAGGAGGGGGCGGAGGGGGGGUCGGCGCCCCCGGGCAGUGCUUGUGAUGUUGCAGAUGAAGUCUUAAAGAGCUGCAAUGUCCUCCCAGAAGGAAUGUCUGCUUGGAACAGAUCCUUAUUGACAAGGCAGCUGCGUGGGGACCGGAACGGAGCCUUAAACCCGGCUCUAACACCAACUAAUACCCUAAAGUCUGGAGCAAGUGCGCAGAAUUACAGCGGUGGGCUCCGAGCCUCCCGCAGGAGCGGUGCCACGGCCGCACCGAGCCCGGGACGCGCUCCCCGGUCCCUUUCCCUUUAUUACAAUGCGCUCUUCCUCUAAUUUUCCAAGACGUUUGGGAAGCACGGACCUGAGGGUUCGUCCCUUCAGGGCUAAGGGGUGAAGAACGCAAAGCGGGGCCGUGAGGAGCCCUGGUUUGUAACGAGAGCGGCUUCUCCCUGCCGGUCCCUUCCCAAGGCCGAACCCGAACGUUGGGGCUCAGCCCCCACCGGGGCCGCGCCGCUCCGCGCCCCACAGCGCCCGCGGAGCGAACGGGGCUGCGCCCGCGGGCAGCGCUGCGGCCGGGGCCGCUCCCAGCGGCGUGCGUUACCCGCUGCUUUUCCUACAAAACAAACGGAAAGUUUUCGCUUCAAACCACCCGAAAGAAGCAAAACGGCACGGAUUUCCGAACCUCACGCUCCGUUUAGCCCCAUAAAUUCAGACGAGAAAUGGUUUCGAAGCGCUCGAAUAAAAGCAAAGGAACGGAGCUCGAAGCGAACGGCCGAACGGCGGCAGGGCGGCUCGGGGAGGUUCUGUGCCGUACGGGUCGGGCUCACCCCGGCCCCGAUCCCUGCGCAGGAGCGCACAUCUCCGCGGGUUUAUUCGAUGCGGAGCGGGGAUGGGGAUGGGGCCGGGGCAGCGCUCGGCCGUUUUUCACCGAUUUCGCCGAAAAAAAAAAAAAAAAAAAAGAAUUGUAUAGGAAAGAUAGAAAACGCGG